Molecule: ribosomal RNA, 792 nt
Filed under: uncultured archaeon
Lineage: Archaea
Description: bacterial SSU rRNA
Rfam family: Archaeal small subunit ribosomal RNA
Source: RNAcentral
ACUGCUCAGUAACACGUGGACAACCUGCCAUAGGACGGGGAUAAACCCGGGAAACUGGGUAUAAUACCCGAUAGGUCCCGAUUGCUGGAAUGCAUCGAGAUUUAAAGCUCCGGCGCCUAAGGAUGGGUCUGCGGCUUAUCAGGUAGUAGUGGGUGUAGCGUACCUACUAGCCUACGACGGGUACGGGUUGUGAGAGCAAGAGCCCGGAGAUGGAUUCUGAGACACGAAUCCAGGCCCUACGGGGUGCAGCAGGCGCGAAAACUUUACAAUGCUGGCAACAGCGAUAAGGGAACCUCGAGUGCCAGGUUACAAAUCUGGCUGUCGAGAUGCCUAAAAAGCACUUCAUAGCAAGGGCCGGGCAAGACCGGUGCCAGCCGCCGCGGUAACACCGGCGGCUCGAGUGGUAACCGUUAUUAUUGGGUCUAAAGGGUCUGUAGCCGGCCGGAUAAGUCUCUUGAGAAAUCUGGCAGCUUAACUGUCAGGCUUUCAGGAGAUACUGUCUGGCUCGAGGCCGGGAGAGGUGAGAGGUACUUCAGGGGUAGGGGUGAAAUCUUGUAAUCCUUGAAGGACCACCAGUGGCGAAGGCGUCUCACCAGAACGGACCUGACGGCAAGGGACGAAAGCUAGGGGCACGAACCGGAUUAGAUACCCGGGUAGUCCUAGCCGUAAACGAUACUCGCUAGGUGUCGGCCACGGUGCGACCGUUGUCGGUGCCGUAGGGAAGCCGUGAAGCGAGCCACCUGGGAAGUACGGCCGCAAGGCUGAAACUUAAAGGAAUUGGCGGGGGAGCAC